AGGCUUAACACAUGCAAGUCGAGGGGCAGCAUGAGGUAGCAAUACCUUGAUGGCGACCGGCGCACGGGUGAGUAACGCGUAUGCAACCUGCCCGAUACCGGGGUAUAGCCCAUGGAAACGUGGAUUAACACCCCAUAGUACUUUUAUCCUGCCUGGGAUGUGAGUUAAAUGUUCAAGGUAUCGGAUGGGCAUGCGUCCUAUUAGUUAGUUGGCGGGGUAACAGCCCACCAAGACGAUGAUAGGUAGGGGUUCUGAGAGGAAGGUCCCCCACAUUGGAACUGAGACACGGUCCAAACUCCUACGGGAGGCAGCAGUGAGGAAUAUUGGUCAAUGGACGUAAGUCUGAACCAGCCAAGUCGCGUGAGGGAAGACUGCCCUAUGGGUUGUAAACCUCUUUUAUAAGGGAAGAAUAAGUUCUACGUGUAGAAUGAUGCCUGUACCUUAUGAAUAAGCAUCGGCUAACUCCGUGCCAGCAGCCGCGGUAAUACGGAGGAUGCGAGCGUUAUCCGGAUUUAUUGGGUUUAAAGGGUGCGUAGGCGGUUUAUUAAGUUAGUGGUUAAAUAUUUGAGCUAAACUCAAUUGUGCCAUUAAUACUGGUAAACUGGAGUACAGACGAGGUAGGCGGAAUAAGUUAAGUAGCGGUGAAAUGCAUAGAUAUAACUUAGAACUCCGAUAGCGAAGGCAGCUUACCAGACUGUAACUGACGCUGAUGCACGA
This 717-nucleotide ribosomal RNA is filed under the name uncultured Bacteroidales bacterium. RNAcentral describes it as "bacterial SSU rRNA". It matches the Rfam family "Bacterial small subunit ribosomal RNA", at positions 44 to 756 of the family's 1533-position model. Lineage: Bacteria; Pseudomonadati; Bacteroidota; Bacteroidia; Bacteroidales. The record is from RNAcentral.